RNAcentral lists this ribosomal RNA (308 nucleotides) under Babesia canis canis. RNAcentral describes it as "SSU rRNA". It matches the Rfam family "Eukaryotic small subunit ribosomal RNA", at positions 535 to 893 of the family's 1831-position model. Lineage: Eukaryota; Apicomplexa; Aconoidasida; Piroplasmida; Babesiidae. The record is from RNAcentral.
ACCAGAGUAGCAAUUGGAGGGCAAGUCUGGUGCCAGCAGCCGCGGUAAUUCCAGCUCCAAUAGCGUAUAUUAAACUUGUUGCAGUUAAAAAGCUCGUAGUUGUAUUUUUGCGUUAGCGGUUUGACCAUUUGGUUGGUUAUUUCGUUUUCGCUUUUGGGAAUUUCCCUUUUUACUUUGAGAAAAUUAGAGUGUUUCAAGCAGACUUUUGUCUUGAAUACUUCAGCAUGGAAUAAUAGAGUAGGACUUUGGUUCUAUUUUGUUGGUUAUUGAACCUUAGUAAUGGUUAAUAGGAACGGUUGGGGGCAUAA